This 677-nucleotide ribosomal RNA is filed under the name uncultured Rhodobacterales bacterium. RNAcentral's name for it is "partial 16S ribosomal RNA". Lineage: Bacteria; Pseudomonadati; Pseudomonadota; Alphaproteobacteria; Rhodobacterales. The record is from RNAcentral.
UUGACGUGCUGAUCGACCACAGCGAAAUGGGCGCCGGCUGGGCGACCGAAACGGACCCCGCAGCAGAAACCGCCACCGGCUCGAUCGACCGCAUCACCAUCCCGCUGCACGAACUCAGCGCGCUGCCCAAGGCGUCGCAGCGGCUGCUCGAUGACAGCGCCUUUGAUAUCGAGGGCUGGCUGGCCGGGCGCAUCGCCGACAAAUUCGCGCGGUCCGAGGCCGAUGCCUUCAUCAACAGCGACGGCAUCGACAAGCCCACCGGCUUCCUCAGCUACACCGUGGCCGAAAACGGCAGCUGGACCUGGGGCAACCUCGGCUACAUCGCCUCCGGCAUCGAUGCCGACGUCGGCGACGGCGAUGCGGUCAUCGACCUGGUCUAUGCGCUGGGGGCGGAAUACCGCGCCAAUGCCACCUUCAUCAUGAACUCCAAGACCGCGGGAAUGCUCAGGAAACUGAAGGACGCCGAUGGCCGCUUCCUGUGGUCCGACGGGCUGGCCGCGGCGGAGCCUGCGCGCCUGAUGGGCUACCCGGUGCUGAUCGCCGAGGACAUGCCCGACCCGGCCUCCAACAGCUUCUCCAUCGCCUUCGGCGACUUCCGCGCCGGCUACACCAUCGCUGAACGCCCGGACCUGCGCGUGCUGCGCGAUCCCUUCAGCGCAAAACCGCACGUGCUGUUC